UACGUAGGGGGCAAGCGUUGUCCGGAUUUAUUGGGCGUAAAGGGAACGCAGGCGGUCUUUUAAGUCUGAUGUGAAAGCCUUCGGCUUAACCGAAGAAGUGCAUUGGAAACUGGAAGACUUGAGUGCAGAAGAGGAGAGUGGAACUCCAUGUGUAGCGGUGAAAUGCGUAGAUAUAUGGAAGAACACCAGUGGCGAAGGCGGCUCCCUGGUCUGGAACUGACGCUGAGGUUCGAAAGCGUGGGUAGCAAACAGG
Molecule: ribosomal RNA, 253 nt
Filed under: uncultured bacterium
Lineage: Bacteria
Description: partial 16S ribosomal RNA
Rfam family: Bacterial small subunit ribosomal RNA
Source: RNAcentral